CUUCACUGGGCAGCCUUUGGCAGUGCUCAGUUAUCCUCACAGUAAAGAACUGCUUCUGGUGUUCAGAGAGAACCUUCUGUGUUUAAGUUUGUGCCCAUGUCUUGUCCUGGCACUACUUUAAAAAAUAUAUUUUCUAAAUACUAAGCAAGUUAUUCUAAAUUCUUGCAAUUAAAACAAACAACAAAAACAGAAAACAACUCUAUUUUUAAUUUUGUUUUCCACAAAAAAUUCUGUUUUCUACCAAAUGAAAUGUUUGUUUUCUACCCAAUUUCUUUUCAAUCAUUCUCUGUAAAAUAUUUCAUGAAACACAAAGCUGUCCUUGCUUGUGGAGGGGAGCUGGCAGCCCAGAUCAGGCGGUCUGCCAGAGAAGAAUAAGUAGGAGGAGGUGGAUACUGCUGUCCUACAAUGAGAUACCCAGGAGGCAUAAAACAG
RNAcentral lists this long non-coding RNA (432 nucleotides) under Anser brachyrhynchus (Pink-footed goose). RNAcentral describes it as "lncRNA (ENSABRG00000018085.1)". The record is from RNAcentral. Lineage: Eukaryota; Metazoa; Chordata; Aves; Anseriformes; Anatidae.